AGAUGAAGUCUAUCAUUUUUGCUUCAGUGAUGUGGGUCAAUGGUUCAGCUUUUACCUGCUUGAUAAAAUAAUUCACAGCGAGGAGUAGAAACUUAUGCUGACUUGGUGCCUGUAGAAAGGGGCAGAGGAUAUCCAUCCCCCAUUACACAAAAGGCCAAGGGGUGCAGAUAGGAGUGAUCGAUAUUGCAAGUAGUCAUUAUAUGUUGGAGUUCUUUUGGCAUUUGUCGCAUCACAUAGUUCUCAGAAUCUUUUUACAUGGUCGGCCAGUAGUCGCCCUACC
Molecule: long non-coding RNA, 280 nt
Filed under: Elaeis guineensis (African oil palm)
Lineage: Eukaryota; Viridiplantae; Streptophyta; Magnoliopsida; Arecales; Arecaceae
Description: long non-coding RNA (EGUI_LNC017060)
Source: RNAcentral